This 407-nucleotide ribosomal RNA is filed under the name uncultured bacterium. RNAcentral describes it as "partial 16S ribosomal RNA". It matches the Rfam family "Bacterial small subunit ribosomal RNA", at positions 28 to 526 of the family's 1533-position model. The record is from RNAcentral.
GACGAACGCUGGCGGCGUGCCUAAUACAUGCAAGUCGAACGGAGCGGCGGACGGGUGAGUAAUGCCUAGGAAUCUGACUGGUAGUGGGGGAUAAGGUCAGGCAACGGGCGCUAAUACCGCAUCCUAUCAGAUGAGCCUAGGGCGGAUUAGCUAGUUGGUGGGGUGAAGGCCUACCAAGGCGACGAUCCGUAACUGGUAUGAGAGGAUGAUCAGUCAAACUGGAACGGAGACACGGUCCAGACUCCUACGGGCGGAAGGAGUGGGGAAUAUUGGACAAUGGGCGAAAGCGUGAUCCAGCCAUGCCGCGUGUGUGAAGAAGGUCUUCGGAUUGUAGAGCACUUUAAGUUGUGAGGCGUUACCAACAGAAUAAGCACCGGCUAACUUCGUGCCAGCAGCCGCGGUAAUUC